Peromyscus maniculatus bairdii (prairie deer mouse) is the source of this 1798-nucleotide non-coding RNA. Lineage: Eukaryota; Metazoa; Chordata; Mammalia; Rodentia; Cricetidae. The record is from RefSeq and is a predicted model, not a curated record.
UGAGUGUGAGUGUGUGUGUGUGUGUGUGUGUAUGUGUGUGUGUGUGUGUGUGUGUACAAAUAUAUAAACCAACCCUGAUGAGUCCAUUUUGUUGGUAGUGUACAUAUGGUUUCAGGGUAUGUAGUAUCUGUUGGACAAUCAAUAAAGGAGCCAUCCCUGGGAGAGGUUAAUUCUCCUUCUGUCAGCAUUCAGUUCUUCUCCCAGCCUUUAGUUCUUCAUUUAGGGGUCGGACCCUGUGGAAAUGUCCCCCUUCAACGUCAGCAUGCCCAUGGAUAUUGUCACCGUUUCAACCUUGUUUACGCAGCCCUCUAUAGGGGAGACGACGUCAUCACAAAAUUCCUGGUUUUCUGGCUCUGACAAUCUUCCCACUCCCUCUUCCACGACGUUCCCUGAGCCAUAGAUGUAGGAGUUGUCUUCAGCAAUGGGGGCUUACCUUCAACCCCUGAGGCUCUAUUAAUAGUCUACAUUGCUUUGGGAGUGACCUGAAUUACUCUGAGCAACCAUUGGAAAGGAGGUUUCUAGUGCCUGGUACUGGGGUUUUUGUUAGUGUGCAGUUCUUGUGGAGAGCAUUGCCAGCCUAAGUGGCAUAACAUAUCCUAUAUCUAUAUUAAUCCUAUGUGUAUAUACAUACACUUAUAUAUACUACAUAUAAUUUUAGGAAAAUAUAAAAUAAUAUGAUUCCUUGAAGUUAUAUCAAACAACUUUGGUAUUAUUUGUCCCUCCUUACAUUGCCAGCAUGCACUGAGCAAAUGUAAGGCAAGGCACAUGGAAGUCCCAGACUGAGCCUGGGAAAAACUAUAGGAAUUCUCUCAGUUCCUCUACUGGCCCUGAAUACCCAGACUGUCAAGUCCUGAAAUAUUCACAGUCUCCUCCCUACUCUGUUCCUGCUGCUAUAACAAAAUGCCUGAGAUUAGGAUACUGAGCAGUAGUAGUAUUUCUUAUAGGUCUAAAGGCAGGCAUUCAAGAUCAAGGUUCUGGUAGAUUCUGCAUCUUGCAUCUCUUUCACGUAACAGGAGGGCAGAAAGGAAGAAUGCUGUGUCUUCACAUCGAGGAACAGGCAAAGCAGCUCCUGGUAGCCUCUUUACUAGCCCCACUGAGUAGGCUGAAGCUUCCUGAAAAUCCGCACUCUUAAAGGCCUCGCUCUGAACAUAGAAUUUGGGGCACGGCAGCAUGCAGACGUCAACAAUGCCCAUCAGAUUUGCGUCAAGCACUUCCAGCUCCUGGCCUCUCAGUGAGUCUCCAGAAGGAAGUCCCCACUUCCUCCAGGUCGAAGAAGUGGCCAUUCCGCCAGGCAUCUGAGAGUGGUCAGUUGUGGAUGACCGCUCGGUUAAGUGGGGAUUUAGAAACAGUGUUCACAUGAGAGAAUCUCAGGGCCUGGAGGAGGAUUACUGGACAUUUCCAAGGAGAACCCGAGGAGGUGCAGAUGGUACCACGGUCAGACUGUUGGAAUGAGCUGACGACUGAGAUGACGGCCCCACGGAUGGCUGAGGACCACCGCUGUGCCGCGUCGGCUGACACACUGAUGGGGAAGUGCAGCCCCCACCAGAACCCAGCAGCAAAGAGAGCAGGACAGCGGGGACCACUGAGCAACUGACACAAAAACUUCAUUCAUUCGAAGAGGAAGACGGCAUGCCCCAUCCAGACACCCUCACAGUGAAGACGAAGGUUAUAGGUUCUAACAAGAAAGUUUCAGUGAAGUUACCUGGAUGGAAGUGCUUGGAUUGAAGUGAUAUUCUGAUUUUGUGACUUGUAAAUUAUCACAUUUGAAUCUAUAUUGAGGAUGAAUUUGGGAGGCAGG